Molecule: ribosomal RNA, 393 nt
Filed under: uncultured bacterium
Lineage: Bacteria
Description: partial 16S ribosomal RNA
Rfam family: Bacterial small subunit ribosomal RNA
Source: RNAcentral
AUACGGAGGAUGCAAGCGUUAUCCGGAUUUAUUGGGUUUAAAGGGUGCGUAGGCUGUUCGGAAAGUCAGGGGUGAAAGCCCGGCGCCUAACGCCGGAACUGCCUUUGAUACUUCCGAGCUGGUAUACGGAUGCCGUGGGAGGAAUGAGUAGUGUAGCGGUGAAAUGCAUAGAUAUUACUCAGAACACCGAUUGCGAAGGCAUCUCACGAAUCCGUCAUUGACGCUGAGGCACGAAAGCGUGGGGAUCAAACAGGAUUAGAUACCCUGGUAGUCCACGCAGUAAACGAUGAUGACUAACCGUCGGCGAUACGCAGUCGGUGGCCAAGCGAAAACGAUAAGUCAUCCACCUGGGGAGUACGUUCGCAAGAAUGAAACUCAAAGGAAUUGACGGGG